This 257-nucleotide unclassified non-coding RNA is filed under the name Hevea brasiliensis (rubber tree). The record is from RNAcentral. Lineage: Eukaryota; Viridiplantae; Streptophyta; Magnoliopsida; Malpighiales; Euphorbiaceae.
UUUCUUUAAAAAAAAAAAAUUAUUAUUCAGUUUUGAAAAAAUAUGAUGCACUUAUGUAUUGUUGAAAACAUAGUUGUUCGUAACUUAAUUUUUAAUCAUAGCGGAAGUCAGAAAUAUACUAUAAAAGAUGAGGUACACUUAACUUUCCCAUGGAUAUUAAUUGUCUUCAAGGGGCACUAUCAAUUCAUUCCAUGUUCGAUAGAUAGUGCGCCAGUACUCAACUCAACUAAAGUUUUAUCCUAAAAAUUUAUUGGGGU